GACGAACGCUGGCGGCGUGCCUAAUACAUGCAAGUAGAACGCUGACUACUUUAGCUUGCUAGAGUAGAAGGAGUUGCGAACGGGUGAGUAACGCGUAGGUAACCUGCCUACUAGCGGGGGAUAACUAUUGGAAACGAUAGCUAAUACCGCAUAACAGUGUUUAACACAUGUUAGAUGCUUGAAAGAUGCAAUUGCGUCACUAGUAGAUGGACCUGCGUUGUAUUAGCUAGUUGGUGGGGUAACGGCCCACCAAGGCGACGAUACAUAGCCGACCUGGGAGGGUGAUCGGCCACACUGAGACUGAGACACGGCCCAGACUCCUACGGGAGGCAGCAGUAGGGAAUCUUCGGCAAUGGGGGCAACCCUGACCGAGCAACGCCGCGUGAGUGAAGAAGGUUUUCGGAUCGUAAAGCUCUGUUGUAAGAGAAGAACGUGUGUGAGAGUGGAAAGUUCACACAGUGACGGUAACUUACCAGAAAGGGACGGCUAACUACGUGCCAGCCGCCGCAGUAA
Molecule: ribosomal RNA, 513 nt
Filed under: uncultured bacterium
Lineage: Bacteria
Description: partial 16S ribosomal RNA
Rfam family: Bacterial small subunit ribosomal RNA
Source: RNAcentral